RNAcentral lists this ribosomal RNA (681 nucleotides) under Streptomyces sp. RNAcentral's name for it is "bacterial SSU rRNA". It matches the Rfam family "Bacterial small subunit ribosomal RNA", at positions 331 to 1022 of the family's 1533-position model. Lineage: Bacteria; Bacillati; Actinomycetota; Actinomycetes; Kitasatosporales; Streptomycetaceae. The record is from RNAcentral.
CUUUAUUCCUACGGGAGGCAGCAGUGGGGAAUAUUGCACAAUGGGCGAAAGCCUGAUGCAGGACGCCGCGUGAGGGAUGACGGCCUUCGGGUUGUAAACCUCUUUCAGCAGGGAAGAAGCGAAAGUGACGGUACCUGCAGAAGAAGCGCCGGCUAACUACGUGCCAGCAGCCGCGGUAAUACGUAGGGCGCAAGCGUUGUCCGGAAUUAUUGGGCGUAAAGAGCUCGUAGGCGGCUUGUCACGUCGAUUGUGAAAGCCCGAGGCUUAACCUCGGGUCUGCAGUCGAUACGGGCUAGCUAGAGUGUGGUAGGGGAGAUCGGAAUUCCUGGUGUAGCGGUGAAAUGCGCAGAUAUCAGGAGGAACCACCGGUGGCGAAGGCGGAUCUCUGGGCCAUUACUGACGCUGAGGAGCGAAAGCGUGGGGAGCGAACAGGAUUAGAUACCCUGGUAGUCCACGCCGUAAACGGUGGGAACUAGGUGUUGGCGACAUUCCACGUCGUCGGUGCCGCAGCUAACGCAUUAAGUUCCCCGCCUGGGGAGUACGGCCGCAAGGCUAAAACUCAAAGGAAUUGACGGGGGCCCGCACAAGCGGCGGAGCAUGUGGCUUAAUUCGACGCAACGCGAAGAACCUUACCAAGGCUUGACAUACACCGGAAACGUCCAGAGAUGGCGCCCCGACUUG